Molecule: ribosomal RNA, 1372 nt
Filed under: uncultured bacterium
Lineage: Bacteria
Description: bacterial SSU rRNA
Rfam family: Bacterial small subunit ribosomal RNA
Source: RNAcentral
GAUGAACGCUGGCGGCGUGCCUAAUACAUGCAAGUCGAGCGAACGGACGAGAAGCUUGCUUCUCUGAUGUUAGCGGCGGACGGGUGAGUAACACGUGGAUAACCUACCUAUAAGACUGGGAUAACUUCGGGAAACCGGAGCUAAUACCGGAUAAUAUUUUGAACCGCAUGGUUCAAAAGUGAAAGACGGUCUUGCUGUCACUUAUAGAUGGAUCCGCGCUGCAUUAGCUAGUUGGUAAGGUAACGGCUUACCAAGGCAACGAUGCAUAGCCGACCUGAGAGGGUGAUCGGCCACACUGGAACUGAGACACGGUCCAGACUCCUACGGGAGGCAGCAGUAGGGAAUCUUCCGCAAUGGGCGAAAGCCUGACGGAGCAACGCCGCGUGAGUGAUGAAGGUCUUCGGAUCGUAAAACUCUGUUAUUAGGGAAGAACAUAUGUGUAAGUAACUGUGCACAUCUUGACGGUACCUAAUCAGAAAGCCACGGCUAACUACGUGCCAGCAGCCGCGGUAAUACGUAGGUGGCAAGCGUUAUCCGGAAUUAUUGGGCGUAAAGCGCGCGUAGGCGGUUUUUUAAGUCUGAUGUGAAAGCCCACGGCUCAACCGUGGGGGGUCAUUGGAAACUGGAAAACUUGAGUGCAGAAGAGGAAAGUGGAAUUCCAUGUGCAGCGGUGAAAUGCGCAGAGAUAUGGAGGAACACCAGUGGCGAAGGCGACUUUCUGGUCUGUAACUGACGCUGAUGUGCGAAAGCGUGGGGAUCAAACAGGAUUAGAUACCCUGGUAGUCCACGCCGUAAACGAUGAGUGCUAAGUGUUAGGGGGUUUCCGCCCCUUAGUGCUGCAGCUAACGCAUUAAGCACUCCGCCUGGGGAGUACGACCGCAAGGUUGAAACUCAAAGGAAUUGACGGGGACCCGCACAAGCGGUGGAGCAUGUGGUUUAAUUCGAAGCAACGCGAAGAACCUUACCAAAUCUUGACAUCCUUUGACAACUCUAGAGAUAGAGCCUUCCCCUUCGGGGGACAAAGUGACAGGUGGUGCAUGGUUGUCGUCAGCUCGUGUCGUGAGAUGUUGGGUUAAGUCCCGCAACGAGCGCAACCCUUAAGCUUAGUUGCCAUCAUUAAGUUGGGCACUCUAAGUUGACUGCCGGUGACAAACCGGAGGAAGGUGGGGAUGACGUCAAAUCAUCAUGCCCCUUAUGAUUUGGGCUACACACGUGCUACAAUGGACAAUACAAAGGGCAGCGAAACCGCGAGGUCAAGCAAAUCCCAUAAAGUUGUUCUCAGUUCGGAUUGUAGUCUGCAACUCGACUACAUGAAGCUGGAAUCGCUAGUAAUCGUAGAUCAGCAUGCUACGGUGAAUACGUUCCCGGGUCU